Molecule: ribosomal RNA, 497 nt
Filed under: uncultured bacterium
Lineage: Bacteria
Description: partial 16S ribosomal RNA
Rfam family: Bacterial small subunit ribosomal RNA
Source: RNAcentral
GACGAACGCUGGCGGCGUGCCUAAUACAUGCAAGUCGAACGCUGAAGAGAAGAGCUUGCUCUUCUUGGAUGAGUUGCGAACGGGUGAGUAACGCGUAGGUAACCUGCCUUGUAGCGGGGGAUAACUAUUGGAAACGAUAGCUAAUACCGCAUAACAAUGGAUGACACAUGUCAUUUAUUUGAAAGGGGCAAUUGCUCCACUACAAGAUGGACCUGCGUUGUAUUAGCUAGUAGGUGAGGUAACGGCUCACCUAGGCGACGAUACAUAGCCGACCUGAGAGGGUGAUCGGCCACACUGGGACUGAGACACGGCCCAGACUCCUACGGGAGGCAGCAGUAGGGAAUCUUCGGCAAUGGGGGCAACCCUGACCGAGCAACGCCGCGUGAGUGAAGAAGGUUUUCGGAUCGUAAAGCUCUGUUGUAAGUCAAGAACGAGUGUGAGAGUGGAAAGUUCACACUGUGACGGUAGCUUACCAGAAAGGGACGGCUAACUACGUG